UAAAGAAGACAUUUAGUAACGUUUGCUGGCUUAAAGGGCAUUUAAAAUGUUCCUAAUAUUGUUUUGGGAGUCCCCAACAACAGUUUUACAUGCAUGCAAUGACAAAUUAUAUGAUAAUGCAUGCAUUACAUCCUUUCGUUCAAAAACUAAUUUAAUUCUACCGGAAAUAAUUUCGGUCUCCAAGAUACAGAAUAUAUAAUUCUGUCAUGUGACAAAUAAACUAAAGACUCUUAACGGAAUAGGGAUUCAGGAGGUGAACUAAUCAUUUCUGUUUCCUGUACAAAUGAUUAGUGCAACUUCGGAGUUUUUUCAAUCUUGAACCAGAGCUAUAUGACGAAAUGAUGUUGCGCAUGCGUGGUCACAAAAAAGAAAAGAAAGAAUCACUCUCUGAGACCGCUCGUCGGACCAGAAGACGACGUUGAGUGGAAUAGCUGCACAACAAUUUAAAUAUCCAUUCCAUAGAUUGAGAAUUCACCAUUUAGUUGAAGCAGCUUAUUCAAGGUGACAUGUCAUGAGAUGGGUGUGUAAAAAGGCCGUCAGCUUGCUUACCCAGAGCUGGAGGUGAAAAGUUAGGAAGGAAAAAAAAAAAAGACUACAAAUGUAAAGGUUACCCCCAAAGGCAUGAAAAGGGCCAAGAAGACUUUACUUCCAUUUGGAGUAAACUACUUGCCACCAUUUCCAUUUGGAGAAACUGAGGUCAAGGAUAAGUUCAGGAGGAUAACCACUUCACCUGGAGCAAACUGUUUUGGGAAAACUGGACUUCUAUACUCCUAGCCAUAUUUGAGACGAAGGGUGGGGUUGCAGGCACAAAAAUAAGAAGCGUGCUGGAUUCACUUAGUCAACAACACGAAGGUAGGCAAGAUGCUAUUAUCCGCUGUCUCAUUAUCUUUCUGGGAGAAUCAUCUGAGGAGCUCAUCAAAGACUACCAGGAUGUCAGCAAAGACAUAAUCAAAGAUGGCUUCGCUGAACAUGUGAUGAAGAUCAUUGUACUUUGCAGCACUGCAGCAGAAGGCUCCACCACAGGCGAUGUGAUCAUUGUCAUUGAGGGAACUGAGGUGCUGGUUGGAUGUAAAAAAUCUCACAAAUGCGUUUCUGGGUUUAAUUUACUCCUUUAACUUCAACUAUUCCUCAAAGCUGAGAAGCACAUUUUAAGUGUUUCAAAAGAUCUUUCUUGAGCUGGUGUUCUAAAAUUUUCUCCAAAGGUUCACUCUUUGCACACUAAGCUACUAAUGUAAGUCUGUUAGUUGUGGACACUCAAUAUUUGCACUUUUAAACUUUGUAUUUGUUCCUUUGUGUGUAGAUGUAAAGGCAGAUAUAUCCAGAUAUAGGUUCUCUGAACAAAGAUGUAAAAGUGAUGUGGACAGAUGGUUGUUUGGGUGUUGUUUUAUUCUACUCUUUCUCUUAUCCUUUGACCAAAAUAUUUAAAGAUACAUUUAUUACUGUUUUUUACACAGUUUUAAAAAAUGAAUUAAAAAUAUUUGUAUGUAAAAUGUUGUCUGUCAAUUCAUGUUAUUUGCGUUUGUUCAGAUAUUAUUAAACACAGUAUAAUUAUUAAUACUAAACAAAUGAAUACAACUAAUGUUAAAAAUAUUGUUAAAAGUUAAGUUAAUAUUACUUUGGCAUUUCAAAAAGAUAAAUAUGACUUGUUAGUAAAAAAUACAUUGAAUUGCUAGUACAUUUAGCUGUCUUCAUGGCUUGAGUAAAGUGUACAAACUAAGAGUCAGUAAAAUUUACUUGAAGCAGAGUAUUAAAAAGUUACAUUUACUUGAGAAUUUCUGCGUGGAAAUUGUUUCCUAGGUUUUUUCUAGUAAACCCCACUCCAAAUUUGUGUGUGUGUGUUUGUGUGUGAGAGAGAGAGUGUGUGUGUGAGAGAGAGAUUGUGUGUGUGUGUGAGAGAGAGAGUGUGUGUCACAAAUCAUAAAUAGUUUCUUCAACUUAUUAAAAUAUCUUACUUUACUGCAACUAUCUGUUUCUGAUUCUUUAUCAUAUUUAUAGUGUGUGAUUUAUAAAAUAACUUAUAUCCUACAUCACAUAUUUUGAUUUUGGACGUCUGGUCACUUUAUAUCUUAUAUCAGAAUAUUAUAUUACUGCCUACUAUGAAUAUUAAAAUACGCCGAACCAUGUGUCCUGUAUCAUAGCUACAUGAAUGACCUUUGCAGCAAAAAAACUCUGCGUGAAAAUCAGUGAGGUAUGAUUCAUUAAAUGCGCUGACAGAUCAUUGCACCUGCCAUAGGCUACAGAUUACACUGGAUCGGGUGACCGGUCUAAGAUGGCGGCGCCGCGGCUCGUCCGCGCCAGUAGGCAGAAGCGGUCGAUAGGGCGUCUAUCUAUAUGAUGUCUAUGGCGUCUACUCUGCCGGUUACAUUAGCUUCCUCGAUUUAUACAGGCGAGGUUUGCUUCGACUAGUAAGCUACCCCGGUUACGAAGGCAACAGCUUUGACAUUUCAAAGUAAAAAUGUUAAUGAUUUAUGGCAUGCAAACUAAAAUAAGUUUGACAAUAUUUUCAGAGAUCGUGCAUUGGUAUUCCAUUAACAAAUGAGCCCUGACAAACAGCUUAUUUCAGUUUAAAUAAUUAGGGUUAUACUGCAUUGAAGGGUGAGGGUCAAAAUCCCUUGUCUCUUCAUAUAUAUAUAUAUAUAUAUAUAUAUAUAUAUAUAUAUAUAUCCUUUUAUAUCAAUAUCUAUCUGUAUUCUGUUGCUUAACUUCUUUAAUAAAGUGAUGAAUUAACUAUAUGCAUGAUCACAUAAUCAAUUCUAUUUUCUUAUGCAUAACUGAAAUAUACUUUGAAUCAUAUGUGUGUUGAAUGCUAACUAGUCUCUUUUAGGAACAUUCCAGAGUCUUUCUCUCUGUCCUGCACGUAGGCUGAAGG
Xyrauchen texanus (razorback sucker) is the source of this 2869-nucleotide long non-coding RNA. RefSeq lists it as uncharacterized. The record is from RefSeq and is a predicted model, not a curated record. NCBI's taxonomy places the organism in Eukaryota, Metazoa, Chordata, Actinopteri, Cypriniformes, Catostomidae. The transcript is spliced from 6 exons.